Molecule: regulatory RNA element, 94 nt
Rfam family: Glycine riboswitch aptamer
About the family: This family represents the bacterial glycine riboswitch. Glycine riboswitches usually consist of two metabolite-binding aptamers domains with similar structures in tandem.
Source: Rfam
CCCCCGCCCUCUGGAGAGCCGCCCUGCGCGGCACCGAAGGAGCAAGGCCUCCCGCACGGCCAAACUCUCAGGUGGAGGAGACAGAGGAACGACC